GUUAAGACAAAGUGCUUUUCCCAGGUCUGCAAAAUUUGAUAUUCUAGUACAGGCUUAUAAUUAGCUUUUAAAUACAACAGCAAUUUUUCAGUGGUUUCACUCAUACAUCAGGGAUGUUGCACGUCUAUGUGCAACAUGUAUAUUGUAUAGGGUGUGUGUGUGUGUGUGUGUAUGUGUGUGUGUCUCCCAAUCACAUCUGGGGCCUCUGUGACCUGCAAUUCAACAUGGGGUUUGUCACCAAGCCUCUUUAGACUGUCAGCUUUAUUGGUGCCAUUUUUUUAAAGUUUGUUUUGUUCCCUAUGCUAAUAAAGCUUGUCUCUGCCUCAAUCAAAGUAUAUCAUCUCUCCCUUUUUCUCUUGUAAGUAAGGCAGCAAUCUGUUCUGUUUAAAUGCUUCAUCAUCUUUGCUCUCCCCCUCCCUGUUUCCCUAGAUUUUCGAGAUUGUUGACUAUUAUGUAACAGAUGGCCCAACAGACCUCCGACUCUUUUGCGGUGUUGGCCAGCUUGGCUCAGGAAAAUAGCAGCACUGGAAUGUUAGAAAGAUGCUAAUGGAUCCUUCUGACUUUCGUUUUGGUGCUUCUCUUAGGCAACAUUUUCAAAAGAUCACUAACUCAUACAUGGGCUAUACCUCUCUAGAUGAAGCUGCACGAUGUCAAGGUCAUAUGAGGACAGCUCUUCACCUGCAUGACCACCUUGGACUUUUCACAAUAGGACAUGAAGAUGUUUGUUUUGUUCUGUGGCUUGCAAUCCCCACAGCAUGUCACAGAGGAAGUGAUAUGGAACCAUUAUCAAAAGCAGUUUUUGUGUCCCAUCCGCACGAGUGGGGAAUGAAGGGCUUUGCAGCACAUUUCUAUGGGGGACUUUAAAAAGGAUAAUUGAAUUGUUUAAAUCAAAUUUGGGUGCCUCUGUCACAAAUCAUUACCUGUCUUUCCUCUAUCUAUCUCCUUGUUUUUCAAAUUAAUGGCACAUACUACACACUGACCUCCAUUAGCUUAAUUUGGUUGAGACAUUUUCCAGUCCGUAUCAUCAAAAUGAGAGAGAAAAUUAUGUUGGCCAGGGAACCAUCUGUACAGUGCAAAAUGUUAAAGCAGCAGGCAUUUUUCUAUAUUUUCUCAGUUUUGAAAGACUCUGUAUACAACUCUAAAUACUUAAAGUCACUAACUGAACACAUUUCUCAGAUUACUGAUUUGGACUUCAUGAGACUGGUAUUUCUGUUGCCUAGGAUGAAAUUCAAAAUAUUCUUAUAUUCAAAUCCUAAGACAUGUACUACAUAAAGAAUGCUAAAGCCUUUGUCUACUUAAUCAGAUGUUUCUCUUAAUAGAUAGUGCUAUAUAUAGUUCUCUAUAUUCCCUGGCAUUUCACAAGAAGUGCUAUGAACUAAAAUCAUCUCCGAGUCCAUCGGCUCAACAUACUCAAUUUUUAAUGCAUUGACACAUUAACUAGCAUUAAUUGCUUUCUUUUGUAAACUAAGUGAUACUUUACCUUUCCAGUUAGGUUAAUUAUUUUCAAUAUCUAUCUGAGAUUAAGAAAUAUGAUCUGUAGAUUAAAUGGUCAUAAAUAAUUCAAUUUAGCAUGAACUUUUAGUAUGUGUUCCAGUAAUUUUGCCAGACUGUAAGGACACAACAUUGAGAGGAAAGUACCCUCUUUAGUAGAGAACAUGUACAGUGACUGUUUGCCUAUCAACAUCACAAUAUAUUCAAAAGUCUCUUUAUAAGCACCAUACAGACACAAGGAGGAAGCCUGGUGAAGUACAGUGGAAAAGGGGCAAGACACUAGUUGUUGGCCCUGGUUCUUCCUUCACCAACUGUGUGACUGGAAGCAUGUCACUAAACUGUGCCAGGUCUCAGUUUCCUCAUGUGUUCAACCAGGGCCUUGAAUGAGAUGUAAGUUUUUCCACCCAUCCUCCACCAAGGACCCUGUAAAUAUCUUUUCCUCAGCUUCUUUAUGUUUUGAAAGAGUUAGUCUAAGAAAUAAUUAUUAAUAAUUAAUUUGCUGUUAUUCACUAAUAAUUAUUUUCUACUAAAAAUCUUUAUGGUAUUGCCAAUCAGAACUUUUCAUAAACACGGGACCACAAGGGUGUCAAGCUAAUUUAAUAUGAUUGUAACUGAAAUCAAUAAAGUCAUACUUUAGUAAGUCAAGGUCAGAGGUGCUCAAACUUUUUCCUUUCAUGGCACCCUGGAGGCCUCAAAAAGUUUUUCACAGUGCCUCAAGGCCAAAAUAAAUAUCUAAAAGUUCUGUUUGUUAAGUACUUGAUUCCAAACAACUUAAUAGGCAUUUAUGUCCUAAGAACUUUUAUUCAAAUGAUAGCCAUUUUAACAAAAAAUACACCUAAAUUGAAAAAAAAAUUAUUCCAUUCUUAUAAAACCAUGAUUAUUUAUUAACAACAACAAAAAAAAUGUGUGCCUGUUGGGCAUUGUAUGCCUUUACAAACCUUGUUUGUAAUUUCCUGUUCUACGUUCACUUUCACAUGGUACCUGAUGGCUUUCUACCACAGCAAUGACCAAAAAGUCAGUUUCACAAAAAUAGGUUAGCAAAAGAAAUGGAGCACAAUCUAAUUUUGAGACUGUGAACCACUUUGAGCUAGAAAUGUGCCUGGUGUCUGACAGAUGUUGAGUGUUGCUGUGUUUUCCAUAAAUUUAGAAUUAUCCCUCAGUGCCCCUAUGAGUUCACUUCAGAACCCCACCUCCAACCCCAGUGAUCCCUGGCACACAGUUUGGGAACCACAGAACUGGGCAAUUUUAUUAUGGCCAAAUGUAUAAUUUUCACUAGGGUUUCUGAAAAUUGUUUAUUAAGACUUUUAGAGCCCUCACAUCAGGAACC
This is a long non-coding RNA of Papio anubis (olive baboon), 2818 nucleotides long. The record is from Ensembl. NCBI's taxonomy places the organism in Eukaryota, Metazoa, Chordata, Mammalia, Primates, Cercopithecidae.